AUGUGGGGAUACUGUUCCCAAGUGUGUGUGUGUGUGGGCGGUUACUUGGCAACAGACCUGCUGACGUCCUCCUGUGCUUAUUUGAGCAGGGAAGAAGAAAGCUGGACAGGGAAGGAAGUAGAGUCACUGACCAGGAGGUGUGAGUUUUCUCUGGGUCAGGAAACUCAAGGAGAAGAAACGGCAACCCACUCCAGUAUUCUUCCCUGGACAAUCCCGUGGACAGAGGAGCCACAACUGCUGAAACUUGCAAGCUCCAGGGCCCGAGGGUCACAACUGGAGUCUGUGUGCUGCAACGAAGAUCCUGCAUGCCACAACGAAGACCCCACGCAGUCAAAUAAAUACUUUUUAAAAACAGAAAGAGUUGGUUCAAUGAAAGGACAGUGGGAAAGGGCUCUCCCUGCAGCGAUGACAGCACAGUCUGGAGCGGAAAGUUGAAGGCAGGGAGGACAGUUAGAGAUUCAGGCCUAGACGCCCUGUGGACUUGUAGGAGUGAGAGAUCUGUGGGGUUGCUUCACAUCUGGGAGGCGCACGAUCGGGUUUGUAUUUUAGAACUACCUAGCAGCCAGAUUCCAGCAGUGCUGCAGACUUGACCUUCAGGCCCACUUCUCAUCCAUUUAUCUGGCCCUGGGACUGCCCCCCGCCACCGCCCCCACCUCCCUACAAAGGCCAUUUCUUCUGUGAUUUCAAAAUCCUCGGUUCCUGCUCUUUGGAAUAUCUUUUGCCCUACUCCCACCACUGAACGCUUCAUAGUUUCACCCUUCAGUGGGACUCUGAAAUAUUGUCACCCUCCCCAAAAGUCAUCUUUUCUCUUUCCUCCUCCAGCGCACUCUUCUAAGC
Molecule: long non-coding RNA, 837 nt
Filed under: Ovis aries (sheep)
Lineage: Eukaryota; Metazoa; Chordata; Mammalia; Artiodactyla; Bovidae
Description: lncRNA (ENSOARG00000026254.1)
Source: RNAcentral